This 777-nucleotide long non-coding RNA is filed under the name Equus caballus (horse). RNAcentral's name for it is "lncRNA (ENSECAG00000045064.1)". Lineage: Eukaryota; Metazoa; Chordata; Mammalia; Perissodactyla; Equidae. The record is from RNAcentral.
CCGUGACACAAGCCGAUUCUGCUGCACGUGCAUUUCGAGGAUAAGGAUUCGCAAUCCCGGCGGGCUCCCGGCACACAGCUCGCAUCUGCAGCCCCUAGACGUUCUCGCCCCUGAACACUAGAUGUGAACUAAGCAACAACAGCCCAGCGACUUGAAGGAGGAAGAACAGAAUCUGGAUUAUUGCCGACGCCGCCUCCUCUGUGCAGUCUCUGGCCUUUCCUGCGGAUGGCGCAGCAGCCAGCGUCUCUCGUGCCCUCCCCAGCAGUAUCGGCGUGAGACGGACGCCACCACGAUGCUCCACUGAGCAGGAAGGAGAAUGGGGGCCUCUGGGAGCCCAAGCCCCCUGUCAACAGCGGGCACUGCCCUGCGCUUGCUCCCGUGUCCUAUCUGGAAGGUUCCUGAAGGAGGGAGAACAUUCACGCCCCCUUCUGAGAUUCCCCAAACUAACAGCUAACGUAGAUCGCUGGCUCACCCCGUCUCUGAGCUGGGCUCUCGGCACGAAGGCGGCUGAUGUCAUGUCACCGCCACCCUGCGUGAAGGCACCUUUGUGACCCCACUCCAGAGACGAGGAACCGGAAGCCCAAGCGGCCAGCCUCAGACCACAGGCCGAAGCCCAAAGCGCCAGGAUCUGCAGCCCAGGCAGCCUGGCCCCGGAGGCUGCCCCUCAACCGCCCCGCAGAGCCGCCUCCCAAGUGGCAAUGGAGGAAAUAAACACAGCUGCCCGGCCGCCAGGGGUCGGCCUGGAGGAGACCAUGUGCCCCCACCCCACCCCCGUCC